UGUCCCUACGGGAGGCAGCAGUGAGGAAUAUUGGUCAAUGGGCGGGAGCCUGAACCAGCCAAGUCGCGUGAGGGAAGGCGGUCCUAUGGAUUGUAAACCUCCUUUGUCGGGGAGCAAAGAGACCACGUGUGGUCAAAAGCGAGAGUACCCGAAGAAAAAGCAUCGGCUAACUCCGUGCCGGCAGCCGCGGUAAUACGGAGGAUGCGAGCGUUAUCCGGAUUUAUUGGGUUUAAAGGGUGCGUAGGCGGGACGGUAAGUCAGCGGUAAAAAUGCGGAGCUCAACUCCGGCGAGCCGUUGAAACUGG
RNAcentral lists this ribosomal RNA (305 nucleotides) under uncultured bacterium. RNAcentral describes it as "bacterial SSU rRNA". It matches the Rfam family "Bacterial small subunit ribosomal RNA", at positions 334 to 636 of the family's 1533-position model. The record is from RNAcentral.